CUAAAUACUCCUGACUGACCGAUAGUGAACCAGUACCGUGAGGGAAAGGCGAAAAGAACCCCGGCGAGGGGAGUGAAAAAGAACCUGAAACCGUGUACGUACAAGCAGUGGGAGCACGCUUAGGCGUGUGACUGCGUACCUUUUGUAUAAUGGGUCAGCGACUUAUAUUCUGUAGCAAGGUUAACCGAAUAGGGGAGCCGAAGGGAAACCGAGUCUUAACUGGGCGUUAAGUUGCAGGGUAUAGACCCGAAACCCGGUGAUCUAGCCAUGGGCAGGUUGAAGGUUGGGUAACACUAACUGGAGGACCGAACCGACUAAUGUUGAAAAAUUAGCGGAUGACUUGUGGCUGGGGGUGAAAGGCCAAUCAAACCGGGAGAUAGCUGGUUCUCCCCGAAAGCUAUUUAGGUAGCGCCUCGUGAAUUCAUCUCCGGGGGUAGAGCACUGUUUCGGCAAGGGGGUCAUCCCGACUUACCAACCCGAUGCAAACUGCGAAUACCGGAGAAUGUUAUCACGGGAGACACACGGCGGGUGCUAACGUCCGUCGUGAAGAGGGAAACAACCCAGACCGCCAGCUAAGGUCCCAAAGUCAUGGUUAAGUGGGAAACGAUGUGGGAAGGCCCAGACAGCCAGGAUGUUGGCUUAGAAGCAGCCAUCAUUUAAAGAAAGCGUAAUAGCUCACUGGUCGAGUCGGCCUGCGCGGAAGAUGUAACGGGGCUAAACCAUGCAC
Molecule: ribosomal RNA, 727 nt
Filed under: Escherichia coli
Lineage: Bacteria; Pseudomonadati; Pseudomonadota; Gammaproteobacteria; Enterobacterales; Enterobacteriaceae
Description: partial 23S ribosomal RNA
Rfam family: Bacterial large subunit ribosomal RNA
Source: RNAcentral